GAAUCUUGAUCCUGGGCCAGCCACCUGUCAAGAGGAGGCGGAGCGUCAUGCCCCUGGAAGACUGGAUGAAUAUUCUCCAGGAGCCUGACGAAGGCAAGUCUUUGCAGAGGAAAUUGAAUGCUGUCUGAUGCUACAAUUCAUAUGGAUCCUUUCCUGGAUUGAAGCCUGACUUUUAAAAACAGUUUCAAUAAAUUGCUUAUACCUAUGAAGAGAUGCAAAAGAACCUUCCAAAUAAAGCAAAGGACUUGAAGAAAGAGAAGGAAGACAUGAAGAAGAGGAUGUCAUUUAGGGCCAUGCUGGAUAAGGAGCUGGCUGCCUCUGUGAACAUCCUACUCAAGGCAUCUUCACUGCUGUACAUCCUUUUGAAAUCCCAGAGAUCUUCAGUCUCCCUGUGGAUUAAGGAGAUGUGCAGUAUUUAAAGUGGCUUCAGGAAGGCAUGGAAGAGGACUGAGUGGGGAAAGCUUUUUGUGCAUGCUGCUGGCUACCUCCAGCAGCUGCCUCCAGCCUCCAUCAGCUGCACUCUGGGGAAGAGGAGGCUGCCUUCUACCUCCCAGCAUCUCUGGAUUUCAUGUUCCUGUCAGCACAGAGGAGCUAAAUGGCCUGUAGAGGCUGAAGGUCUGAGGCUCCUAAAGCUGGAAGAAAAGGCUGGGCCAGUCAGGCCAAGCAAGAACACAGUGUAACUUGUCUCUGAGUGCUUCAUGUUUAAGGGCACUAAGCAGGCACAAGGGCAUGAGGAUGGUUAUAUGUACAGACUGAGGGGAAGAAGCAGUGAGGAUGAGACUUGCCAUGUUCUUGAGUCAGUAGGCCUGCCUCAGGUGCCUAGGAUGUAAUUGCUCUGCUGCUUCUCAUGGGGAGGAGUGGCCCUCAUGACCUUGUUUACCUGGAAGAGUGUGGGAUGAAUGCCUCCUCCUAUGGGGACUGGCAAGUGCUUUAGCAAAAGGAUAAAUUGCUAAUUGUGGCAUUUCGUGGAUCAGCAGGAUUAUUUCUCCUUGCUAAAGAGGAUUUUGUUGGUCCUGAAUUCUGAAGAGGUGGGACUAGGAAUGGGCUCCAUGAGCCUGUGUAUGACUCAGGGAAUAUUAGGACUUUGGCACAGCCUCAUGGGUUGGGAGUAAGUCUUGGCUCUUCCCUAGCCUGAAUGACAGACAUCAGAUCAUUCUGGUGCUUUGUCCAGAUGUAGAUUCUGAGCCCACCCAACUAACCUUUUCACUUGAGCACAGAAACAGCCCCGGGAAUCGGACAGACCCCUGUCUUUCAGGUUUGCUUCACAGAGCCCCAGGGGUUGACAAUAGGUGCCUUGGAGACUGCCUGCAUGGGGAUUUUUAAAAAGCUUUCUUUGUUAAAGGUUUGUAAACCGCUCCUCUGAGCCUGUUUUCAUUUUAUAGAUUAUUCAGGGAACUGAACUGCACAGAGAUCCAGAAACUGGGUAGUGCAGGCUGUAGUGCUGAUAACUACUGUACUACUUGGAUCUUUGUGCUCCCAAAUACCAAAUGGAAGAGGAUCUCUGAGAGUCCUUUGCAAAGAUCUUGUAGGGACUUUAGGCUGGGGCCUUCGGAAAAUUCCAGAGGAUUCCAAUGGAGAUUUUGAGGGACUGACUCAGAAGAACAAAGAGAAUGAUAAUGGUGAUGUCCCUGCUUUUUACAACAGAUCAUGUUCUGAUAUAUAUGCAAAUCUGUGUAAAGUAAACCCUACCUAAAAUGUACUGGGGACCCAAGAUGGACUGCCUGUAUUGCUUCCAGGAUAAAGUCCAAUUUCUAGCUCUGGUUUUUAUAACCUUGCUUCAGCUCACCUUUUCCGUCAUCAUCCCCUCCAUCUCCUCUCCCACGCUGGGAAAUGGAUGGCUGCACUAUACUGUGUGAUGUUAUUGCUAUGUUCAUGCCAUCCCCUCUGCCUGGAAUGCCCUUCUGCAUGAAUGCCUGUGAAAUGUUGUUGCUCCUUUGUAUGGCCUGGCUUCCGUGGUUGGCAGGAAUCUCUUCUUUCGUGGUAUUCCUGUCAUCUUUGUGCAUCACAGUCAGCUUUGUAUUCCUAGCUUGUAAGCUACUUGAGGAUAGGGGCAUGUCUGAAUCUAUUUAAUCUCUUGCACCUGUUUGGCAAAUUGAUGUUUUAAGUAUUUAAAUAACUAAAGCUCUCUCUACAGUACAUACUCACUUUUGAUUUAUGGAAUUGGCAAAAUUCAACUUUUUUCCUUGAAUAUUCUUAAAGUGAGACGAAUUCCAAAGGAGAGUGUUCUGUGUGUGGCCUUCAUUGAGUGGUUUUCUGUUACCAGAAAGCUCUUGGUGGCCUUCCUCUUCCCUGGUGUCAAGGUUGACUGUUAUAGGAAAUGGGAGGGGAGAGAGCCGUUUCUGCCACGCAUUGUCCUAGGUUCUUAACAUUAUUUAAUCCUUAUAAUGCAAUGUUAUCCUCAUUUUACAGAUGAAACCUGAGACCAAAGAACAUGUAACACAUAAAGUACAUUGCAGUUAGGAUGUGAACCCAACUCUGAUUCUAAACCUAAUGCUCUCACUCUUUCAUUCAGAGGUUCAGUCAGUUCUUUGUAGGCUGUAGAUCCAGAGAAGCUGCCGUAGCCAACAAUAAAGUUGUUAGUUUUUAAAACAUCUAUGUGGUAAGUUGGUCUGGCACUUAAAAAUGUAUUGUUUCCCGGGCACGGUGGCUCACACCUGUAAUCCCAGCAUUUUGGGAGGCUGAGGCAGGCGGAUCAUUAGGUCAAAAGAUUGAGACCAUCCUGACCAACAUGGUGAAACCCCGUCUCUACUAAAAGUACAAAAAUUAGCUGGGUGUGGUGGUGCAUGCCUCUAGUCCCAGCUACUUGGGAGGCUGAGGCAGGAGAAUUGCUUGAACCCAGGAGGCAGAGGUUGCAGUGAGCCAAGAUCAUGCUACUGCACUACAGCCUGGCAACAAAGCGAGACUCUGUCUAAAAAAAAAAAAAUAUAUAUAUAUAUAUAUAUAUAUAUUGUUUACUACUCACCACAGAUCUGCAGGAGUUCACUGAUCUCUAGGAUCUGCUUUAACUCCAACUUACAUGUUUUGGUCACUAUUACAAACUGUCAUCCCAGAAUGAUGCUGCAGAGGCUAGGGCUAGGACACAGACCAGUGUUUCCAUGUGGGAAUUCCCUCCCAGUAUUUCUUAGGAAAUGUAUGUUUUUUGAAUCCAUAAUCCCUAGAAAAAUCAGUUGAGGAAAUGAGAAGUAUUGUAAUUAUUCUGUGAAUAGUAACACUUACCAUUAUGGAGACAUCACUAGUUUGAAAGAAUCCAACUUCAUCAAAUACUAACGUACCGAGUUGAAGGCUACAAGAACUGAGACAGGAGCAUAGCAGAGAGAAACGGUCACCAUCUCAUUAGCCCUAUUUUUGGUUGUUGUGAUGCCAUUACAUCUGUAUAUCUGGCCAUAUCAGCUGCUAAUGGUGAGUUCUUGCAAACAAAAUGAUUUGAUAAAC
This 3432-nucleotide long non-coding RNA is filed under the name Pan troglodytes (chimpanzee). Its description in RNAcentral is "long non-coding RNA NONPTRT017603". The record is from RNAcentral. Lineage: Eukaryota; Metazoa; Chordata; Mammalia; Primates; Hominidae.